CGGACGAGAACACCUUCAGAGUUCUUGUGGAGGCCGUGCCUCGCCGGGUCGGAGCUGUUUUGGAGACACGAGGGGGAUCUACACGAUAUUAGGCAGAACGGACUUGUCCUGAGAGCUGAAACUGGGUUUCAUCAAACGGCGCUGGAAAUCCUCUCUGGUGUCAUUUUCACACGUAUUAAGAGCUUAAACAGCUGGCACGCGCGUUACACGCCAACGUUACACCCCAACUAUUUACUGAAAAAUAAUUAUAGUAUUCAAAAUGAGGAAACGAGCAGAAACUGACAGUACUACUCUUUUUUUUUUAUUGUAUUAGUUAUUUAAAAAGAAAUGAAUAAUAUUUUUCAUAGUCCCCCCCCCCAGUGAUUCAGUGAUGGAUCAUAUAACCCUGAAAUCAUCUAAUUUUUGAACAUCAUAUACAACCCCAAUUCCAAAAAAGUUGGGACACUGUAAAAUUAGUGCCUAUGGAAUGGACAGCUUGCACAUCUGGAAAGGCAUCAGUUGAAUAACAACUUUUUUUGGACUAAAAUAAUGACGAUUCGCUUUUCUGAGACAUCACUGACAUUAUUAUUAUUAUUAUUAUUAUUA
This is a long non-coding RNA of Ictalurus punctatus (channel catfish), 585 nucleotides long. The record is from Ensembl. Lineage: Eukaryota; Metazoa; Chordata; Actinopteri; Siluriformes; Ictaluridae.